Long non-coding RNA from Dermacentor andersoni, 506 nucleotides. RefSeq lists it as uncharacterized. The record is from RefSeq and is a predicted model, not a curated record. NCBI's taxonomy places the organism in Eukaryota, Metazoa, Arthropoda, Arachnida, Ixodida, Ixodidae.
GCAACCAGGAAUAUGCGCCCAGGACCCAGCCGGCACGUGCACAAUAUACGAGCCCACCUCCGAUUAUUACCCAAAAAAGAGCUUCUUCUACAACAUAACAUCCAAAAGAUGUGAAGAAUAUCGAGUAUGCAUGUCUCUUGGCUAUAUCCUCCAACAAAACUCGUUUGCAUCAAGAACGCUGUGCAUAUUGCACUGCCGUGGCUUCACACGGAAGGGCAUUUCCCAAAAAAGGGCUGAAUAGCAAUAAUCAUCAUCCCAUACUCUAUCAAUGGAAGAACAAGAUCGAAAGUCUCUCCUGGGUGGAUAUGGACGUAUUCUCGCUUAAAGAGGGAAGUUAUAUCGAAGAUUCAGACGAGAUUAUCAUGAGCCACCGAAACAGACUUCGCAACAUAUAUGCUAUAGGCUGACGAUAUUAAUCUGACAUCCUUCUGUGUACGUCCCAAUGUCAAUACACAAGUCUGUAUGUGCGCGUAACCAUAAAUGAUAUAAACCAACACUGAAAUCAG